GCCGGUGUCAAUGACGAUGAGGUUCCACCCGUUCCCAUUCCGAACACGGCAGUUAAGCUCAUCGGUGCCGAAGAUACUUGGAGGGAAGCUUCCUGGGAAAAUAGGUCGGUGCCGGCA
Ribosomal RNA from Ethanoligenens harbinense, 117 nucleotides. The record is from Rfam. Lineage: Bacteria; Bacillati; Bacillota; Clostridia; Eubacteriales; Oscillospiraceae.